This 76-nucleotide transfer RNA is filed under the name Verrucomicrobiota bacterium. RNAcentral describes it as "tRNA-Ala". It matches the Rfam family "tRNA". Rfam says of the family: Transfer RNA (tRNA) molecules are approximately 80 nucleotides in length. Their secondary structure includes four short double-helical elements and three loops (D, anti-codon, and T loops). Further hydrogen bonds mediate the characteristic L-shaped molecular structure. tRNAs have two regions of fundamental functional importance: the anti-codon, which is responsible for specific mRNA codon recognition, and the 3' end, to which the tRNAs corresponding amino acid is attached (by aminoacyl-tRNA synthetases). tRNAs cope with the degeneracy of the genetic code in two manners: having more than one tRNA (with a specific anti-codon) for a particular amino acid; and 'wobble' base-pairing, i.e. permitting non-standard base-pairing at the 3rd anti-codon position. The record is from RNAcentral. Lineage: Bacteria; Pseudomonadati; Verrucomicrobiota.
GGGGUCAUAGCUCAGUUGGUAGAGCGUCGCGUUCGCAAUGCGAAGGUCUGCGGUUCAAUUCCGCAUGGCUCCACCA